GUGGAUUAGAUACCCUGGUAGUCCACGCCGUAAACGAUGGAUGCUAGAUGUUUCCGGUAUUGACCCCGGAGGUGUCGUAGCUAACGCGUUAAGCAUCCCGCCUGGGGAGUACGGCCGCAAGGCUAAAACUCAAAGGAAUUGACGGGGGCCCGCACAAGCGGUGGAGCAUGUGGUUCAAUUCGACGCAACGCGAAGAACCUUACCUGGGUUGGAACCCUCCAGAAGUUCACAGAGAUGUGGAUGUGCCCGCAAGGGAACUGGAUGUCCAGGUGCUGCAUGGUUGUCGACAGCU
Molecule: ribosomal RNA, 292 nt
Filed under: uncultured bacterium
Lineage: Bacteria
Description: partial 16S ribosomal RNA
Rfam family: Bacterial small subunit ribosomal RNA
Source: RNAcentral